RNAcentral lists this ribosomal RNA (505 nucleotides) under uncultured bacterium. RNAcentral describes it as "partial 16S ribosomal RNA". It matches the Rfam family "Bacterial small subunit ribosomal RNA", at positions 28 to 507 of the family's 1533-position model. The record is from RNAcentral.
GACGAACGCUGGCGGCGUGCCUAAUACAUGCAAGUCGAACGCACAGACUAUACCGUAGCUUCCUUCACCAUAACCUGUGAGUUGCGAACGGGUGAGUAACGCGUAGGUAAUCUGCCUGGUAGCGGGUGAUAACUAUUGGAAUCGUUACCUAUUACAGCAUAAUCUUGAUUAUUGCAUGAUAAUUGACUGACUGAUUCUCUUGCAUCACUACCAGCUCGACCUGCGUUGUAUUAGCUAGUAGGGCAGGUAACGGCUCACCUAGGCGACGAUACAUAUCCGACCUGGGAAGGGGAACAGCCACACUGGGACUGGGAAACGGCCCAGACUCCUAAGGGGGGCAGCAGGAGGGGAACUUCGGCAAUGGACGAAAGGCUGACCGGGCAACGCCGCGGGAGGGAAGGAGGGUUUCGGAUCGUAAAGCUCUGUUUUAAGGGAAGGACGGAUGGGGGAGUUGAAAGUGCACACUGUGACGGUAUCUUACCAGAAAGGGACGGCUAACUACGUG